Molecule: transfer RNA, 69 nt
Filed under: Ictidomys tridecemlineatus (thirteen-lined ground squirrel)
Lineage: Eukaryota; Metazoa; Chordata; Mammalia; Rodentia; Sciuridae
Description: Spermophilus tridecemlineatus (thirteen-lined ground squirrel) tRNA
Rfam family: tRNA
About the family: Transfer RNA (tRNA) molecules are approximately 80 nucleotides in length.
Source: Rfam by way of RNAcentral
GGGAUUGUGGCUCAGUGAUAGAGCACUCACCUAGCAUGUGUGAGGCACUGGGUUCAAUCCUCAGCACCA